RNAcentral lists this ribosomal RNA (266 nucleotides) under uncultured prokaryote. Its description in RNAcentral is "partial 16S ribosomal RNA". It matches the Rfam family "Bacterial small subunit ribosomal RNA", at positions 524 to 789 of the family's 1533-position model. The record is from RNAcentral.
GACGUAGGGCGCGAGCGUUGUCCGGAUUUAUUGGGCGUAAAGAGCUCGUAGGCGGUUUGUCGCGUCUGUCGUGAAAUCCCAUGGCUUAACCGUGGGCGUGCGGUGGGUACGGGCAGACUGGAGUGCGGUAGGGGAGACUGGAAUUCCUGGUGUAGCGGUGAAAUGCGCAGAUAUCAGGAGGAACACCGAUGGCGAAGGCAGGUCUCUGGGCCACUACUGACGCUGAGAAACGAAAGCAUGGGGAGCGAACAGGAUUAGAUACCCGU